Molecule: small nuclear RNA, 164 nt
Organism: Vicugna pacos (alpaca)
Lineage: Eukaryota; Metazoa; Chordata; Mammalia; Artiodactyla; Camelidae
Gene: U1
Rfam family: U1 spliceosomal RNA
About the family: U1 is a small nuclear RNA (snRNA) component of the spliceosome (involved in pre-mRNA splicing). Its 5' end forms complementary base pairs with the 5' splice junction, thus defining the 5' donor site of an intron. There are significant differences in sequence and secondary structure between metazoan and yeast U1 snRNAs, the latter being much longer (568 nucleotides as compared to 164 nucleotides in human).
Source: Ensembl
AUACUUACCUGGCAGGGGAGAUACCGUGAUCACAAAGGUGGUUUUCUCAGGGCGAGACUUAUCCAUUGUACUACAGAUGUGCUGAUCCCUGCGAUUUCCCUAAAUGUGGGAAACUCGACUGCAUAAUUUGUGGUAGUGGGGGACUGCGUUCACGCUCUCCAAUA